UUUCCUGAUCAACGCUAAUCGGAUCAGGGUUAGUCGGGUCCUAAGGGUAAGCCGAACGGCGAUCUCGAUGGAUAAUCGGUUAAUAUUCCGAUACUAACAUAUACCUCGAUGGAGAGACGAAGGAACGUAAGUGCCGCCACCUGACGGAAUAGGUGGUUAAAGGGCGUAGGUAUAGGGGCAGAUUAAGAGUUAGUCCUUGCUGAAACCUGACAGUACAGAGAGCCUACGGGCAAUUUGAUAGAGCACCCAAGUCGACUUCCGAGAAAAUCUUCUAAGUUAUAGUAUAUGUUACCCGUACCGUAAACCGACACAGGUGGUCGAGGAGAGUAUCCUAAGGUGCUCGAGUGAAUCACGGUUAAGGAACUAGGCAAAUUAACCCCGUAACUUCGGGAAAAGGGGUCCCUAUGAAAGUAGGGCGCAGCGAAGAGGUCCAGGCGACUGUUUAUCAAAAACACAGGGCUCUGCAAAUUCGAAAGAAGACGUAUAGGGCCUGACACCUGCCCGGUGCUGGAAGGUUAAGAGGGGAUGUCAUCGCAAGAGAAGCAUUGAAUCGAAGCCCCAGUAAACGGCGGCCGUAACUAUAACGGUCCUAAGGUAGCGAAAUUCCUUGUCGGGUAAGUUCCGACCUGCACGAAUGGUGUAACGAUCUGGACACUGUCUCAACCGUGAGCUCGGUGAAAUUGUAGUCCCGGUGAUGAUGCCGGGUACCCGCAACGGGACGAAAAGACCCCGUGAACCUUUACUAUAGCUUAACGCUGAAUUUGGGUACACAAUGUGUAGGAUAGGCAGGAGACUACGAAGCGGGCACGCCAGUGUUCGUGGAGUCGACGUUGAAAUACUGCCCUUUGUGUACUUGAGUUCUAACCCUCGAGAGGGGACACCGUUUGGUGGGUAGUUUGACUGGGGUGGUCGCCUCCAAAAGAGUAACGGAGGCUUCCCAAGGUACCCUCAGCACGAAUGGUAACCGUGCGUAGAGUGCAAUAGCAUAAGGGUGCUUGACUGUGAGACCAACAAGUCGAUCAGGUGCGAAAGCAGGGUAUAGUGAUCCGGUGGUUCUGCGUGGACUGGCCAUCGCUCAAAGGAUAAAAGGUACUCCGGGGAUAACAGGCUGAUC
This 1114-nucleotide ribosomal RNA is filed under the name human gut metagenome. RNAcentral describes it as "bacterial LSU rRNA". It matches the Rfam family "Bacterial large subunit ribosomal RNA", at positions 1351 to 2487 of the family's 2925-position model. The record is from RNAcentral.